CAAUAGCGUAUAUUAAAGUUGUUGCAGUUAAAAAGCUCGUAGUUGGAUUUCUGGUAGGAGUGACCGUGCCAGACUUGAUUGUCUGUGUAUUGUGUUGUCUCCAGCCAUCCUUGUGGAGAACUUUUCUUGCAUUAAUUUGUAGGGAUUGGGACCCGCAUCGUUUACUGUGAAAAAAUUAGAGUGUUUAAAGCAGGCAAUCGCUUGAAUACAUUAGCAUGGAAUAAUACGAUAGGACUUUGGUACUAUUUUGUUGGUUUGCAUACCAAAUUAAUGAUCAACAGGAACAGUUUGAGGAUAUUCGUAUGAACAUGUCAGAGGUGAAAUUCUUGGAUUUUGAUCAGACGAACUACUGCGAAAGCAUUUAUCAAGGAUGUUUNCAUUA
This 382-nucleotide ribosomal RNA is filed under the name uncultured eukaryote. RNAcentral describes it as "partial 18S ribosomal RNA". It matches the Rfam family "Eukaryotic small subunit ribosomal RNA", at positions 592 to 975 of the family's 1831-position model. The record is from RNAcentral.